RNAcentral lists this ribosomal RNA (255 nucleotides) under uncultured bacterium. RNAcentral's name for it is "partial 16S ribosomal RNA". It matches the Rfam family "Bacterial small subunit ribosomal RNA", at positions 524 to 776 of the family's 1533-position model. The record is from RNAcentral.
UACAGAGGGGGCAAGCGUUGUUCGGAAUUACUGGGCGUAAAGGGCGCGUAGGCGGCCCGCUAAGUCGAACGUGAAAUCCCCCGAGCUCAACUCGGGAACUGCGUCCGAUACUGGCAGGCUUGAAUCCGGGAGAGGGAUGCGGAAUUCCAGGUGUAGCGGUGAAAUGCGUAGAUAUCUGGAGGAACACCGGUGGCGAAGGCGGCAUCCUGGACCGGCAUUGACGCUGAGGCGCGAAAAGCUAGGGGAGCAAACGGG